UACGGAGGGUGCGAGCGUUGUCCGGAAUCACUGGGCGUAAAGGGCUCGUAGGCGGUCUGUUGCGUCGGUAGUGAAAACUCAGGGCUUAACCCUGAGCCUGCUUCCGAUACGGGCAGACUAGAGGUAUGCAGGGGAGAACGGAAUUCCUGGUGUAGCGGUGAAAUGCGCAGAUAUCAGGAAGAACACCAAUGGCGAAGGCAGCUCUCUGGGACGGUACUGACGCUGAGACGCGAAAGCGUGGGGAGCGAACAGG
RNAcentral lists this ribosomal RNA (253 nucleotides) under uncultured bacterium. RNAcentral describes it as "partial 16S ribosomal RNA". It matches the Rfam family "Bacterial small subunit ribosomal RNA", at positions 524 to 776 of the family's 1533-position model. The record is from RNAcentral.